RNAcentral lists this ribosomal RNA (466 nucleotides) under uncultured bacterium. Its description in RNAcentral is "bacterial SSU rRNA". It matches the Rfam family "Bacterial small subunit ribosomal RNA", at positions 355 to 825 of the family's 1533-position model. The record is from RNAcentral.
UAGGGAAUAUUGGACAAUGGGUGAGAGCCUGAUCCAGCCAUGCCGCGUGCAGGAAGAAGGCGUUAUGCGUUGUAAACUGCUUUUGCCAGGGGAUAAAAUGACCGUGCGCGGUUAAUUGAAGGUACCUGGUGAAUAAGCCACGGCUAACUACGUGCCAGCAGCCGCGGUAAUACGUAGGUGGCAAGCGUUGUCCGGAUUUAUUGGGUUUAAAGGGUGCGUAGGUGGCCCUGUAAGUCAGUGGUGAAAUAUCUCAGCUUAACUGAGAGGGUGCCAUUGAUACUGCAGGGCUUGAGUACAGAUGAGGUAGGCGGAAUUGACGGUGUAGCGGUGAAAUGCAUAGAUAUCGUCAAGAACACCGAUAGCGAAGGCAGCUUACCAAGCUGUAACUGACACUGAGGCACGAAAGUGUGGGGAUCAAACAGGAUUAGAUACCCGAGUAGUCCCUGAGCGGGCUGGCAAGGCGCAU